CAGUAGCCGCGGUAAUACGUAGGUCCCGAGCGUUGUCCGGAUUUAUUGGGCGUAAAGCGAGCGCAGGCGGUUAGAUAAGUCUGAAGUUAAGGGCUGUGGCUUAACCAUAGUACGCUUUGGAAACUGUUUAACUUGAGUGCAAGAGGGGAGAGUGGAAUUCCAUGUGUAGCGGUGAAAUGCGUAGAUAUAUGGAGGAACACCGGUGGCGAAAGCGGCUCUCUGGCUUGUAACUGACGCUGAGGCUCGAAAGCGUGGGGAGCAAACAGGAUUAGAUACCCCCGUAGUCCCUGUCUCUUAUACA
Molecule: ribosomal RNA, 301 nt
Filed under: uncultured bacterium
Lineage: Bacteria
Description: partial 16S ribosomal RNA
Rfam family: Bacterial small subunit ribosomal RNA
Source: RNAcentral